This 966-nucleotide ribosomal RNA is filed under the name Triticum aestivum (bread wheat). RNAcentral's name for it is "partial small subunit ribosomal RNA". Lineage: Eukaryota; Viridiplantae; Streptophyta; Magnoliopsida; Poales; Poaceae. The record is from RNAcentral.
AUGGUCAUUAUAUCGUUUAUUCUUAUUCUUCACAAAGAGAAGAAGAAGGCCAGAGAAUUAUACAAAAAGAACGGUGGCCCUACAUUAGAGAAGGCAAAUGUGAUUAAACUUUUCAAAAAGGAUGAGCUCAAGCAAAUUCUGAAGAAUAGCAACUUAAUUGGAAAAGGUUGCUUUGGUGAAGUCUACAAGGGUCUUCUAGACAAUAAGCUAGUUGCAGUAAAGAAGCCGAUUAAUGGUUCUGUGCUAGAGAGUGACCAAUUUGCAAAUGAAGUCAUCACCCAGUCUCAAGUCAUCCACAAGAACAUUGUAAGGCUCAUUGGUUGUUGCCUUGAAGUCGAUGCCCCCAUGCUGGUCUACGAGUUUAUCUCCCAAGGUAGCCUCUAUGACAUUCUUCACAAUAGCAAUAACAAGGUGGCACUCAGCUUGGAUGCACGUUUAAGUAUUGCUGCACAUUCAGCGGAUGGUCUAGCUUAUAUGCACUCGAAAACAAAUACUAGAAUUCUACACGGUGAUGUCAAACCAGCUAACAUACUUUUGGAUGAUAACUUCAUACCCAAGAUUUCAGACUUUGGCAUAUCUAGGCUGAUUGUAAGUGACAGGGAACACACUGCAUCUAUCAUUGGCGACAUGAAUUAUAUGGAUCGGGUGUAUCUACAAGAAGGCCUACUGACCGAAAAAAGUGAUGUUUAUAGUUUCGGAGUUCUGAUCCUGGAAAUUAUAAGCAGAAGGAGGGCAAUGCAUUCUGACAACAAUAAGUUGGUAAAGAAUUAUCUUGAAGCCCAUAAGCAACAGAAGAAAGCAACUGAGUUUUUCGACAAGGAAAUUGCAAUGACAAAAGAUUUGGACCUUCUUGAUAGUCUUGCAGGUCUAGCUGUGGAAUGCCUUGGCCUUGAAGUGGAUCAAAGACCAACGAUGAUGGAGGUAGCUGAGCGGCUACUCAUACUAAGCCGAUCUUCUAAGGUGUAA